UAGCUUGAGCUGUUGUUAUAUGAAUGUGAGCUUCAUUACUUAUCAAUACUGUCCAGAGUCUAGAACAGAGGGGUUUUUAACUCAGAUAGAAGCAGGCAUACAAUCUGAAGACUAUACGUAGUUAAUAUGAAGCAAAGCAGGACAGUGGAAGAUAAUUUAAUCUCUGUUAUUUCUUUAAUUUUAUUUUUCUCUCUAUUUUUAAAUUGCAAGUGCAUGUAAGCAUCCGAAAACUGAUUGAAAUACAACUCAUGAAAACGCUCACAUUUAUAUGCCAAGCAGGCAUUCCCCAGGUAGGCAGCUCUAGUGUGAUUGCCGUGAGGUGGAAGGGCCACCCACAAUGUGGAAAGAGUAAUUUAUCUCUGUGCCAGCUCCGCCUUUGCCCUCUCUGCUGAGACUGCCAGCACAGGUGGCAGUGAGUGCCAGUGGGGAUGCUAUGACCAAAUUGGAGCACUUGCUCUUUGCUGGCUGUAAACAGGCCUCCUCCCGCACCCCCAGCAGAGGAAACACUGGCUUAUACUGGUAUUGCUGCGUAGUGUGAGGGACUGUGGUCUUGUGGCAUUUUAUGUGCUGUUUGCCAGCCUAUUCUGGCCUACAUUUGAGGUCGGGCUUUGGGAUUGGCCUCAAGAACAGCUGUCUUGAUGGGCCCCUUGAUUCCCAUAUUCAGGGAUGCAGAAACAGAAAAAGGGCGGCCGUCAGUACUGGUGGAAGCCCAUUUCUUGUCAGCCGUACCUGGUUAAGGAAGACUGCUAGUCUUAGACUGAAAUUGGGGUUUGGGGCUGAGAAAAGUAAACAUGUUGGGGCCCAGGUUUUUCCAAGGUUCUUGAAGGCUCAGAGAGAUAAGAGGGCAGGAGCUGGCAGGGGCUUGUGUGUGGUUAGGUUUGUGUCUGGCCCCUGUGCCCUGGAAGGUUCUGGUUUCAGAUUGGGGUAUGGGUUUGUGCUAGGGCAAGAGGAGCCUCCGUGGCUCAGGGCAUCCCAAGGGGCUUCACAAUGCACAAAACAGCUGUUACAACCAGUACACCCAAGCUGCAGUCAGAAGGGGUGAAGACUGCAAAAAUAUUCAUUGCAUUAUUGUAGCAUCCUUCAACAUUUCAACCUUUAUUUUAUAAAAAUUCAGGUUGUCUAACAAACUUUAGUAGAUAUUGUUCAUCAGUGACCCAAAUCCAGAACUUUUGUUCUGAAAACAUUAUUUCUAGAUUUGUUUUCAUACUGAAUAGUAAACAAGCAGAACACCCUGGGAAACGAAUUGGUUCAGAUCAGAUGGGUAUAUUUCAUUCUUCUUUUAUGUUUCUUGCUACUUGAUAUGCUAAAAAUGUACGAAAUAGCAAGUUUCUUCUACAUAAAGAGAGGGAUCCUUCUAUUCCUAAAACUGUUGGGACAGAAUAUAUUGCUCUCCUGAAACCCCCUCCUGCCCCUUUUCUUCCCAAGGAGAAAAUUCAUCAAAAUCAGCCUGACUCCAUGAGCUGUAUUAGCUUUGAUCAAAGCAUAUUUUCUGACAGAAAAAAAAAAUACUCUGUCAGAGCAUUGCUGUGUUAGGUAUGUAUCUGAGUGUGCAUAGACGCAUAUUAGCUAGGUUUUCAAACUCUAAGGGGAUUAAGAGCUCAAACUCAUUGAAAUUCAGGAGGAGUGAGACAUUUUGCUUCCUUGGAGAUGCAAGCCCUAGAGAUUUAGAUCCCCCAGGGGAUGCAACCAGAGGAACAGACAGCUAUUAACUUUGACAAGAGCUCUCCAUCACUUUUUCUAGGAAAAUAUUCUGCAGACAAAAAGUAGGUUGUUAGUUCCGGAUUGAGGAGGCAAGUGAGGACAUUUAGGUGCUAUUUAUGUUUCCUUUUGGGCACCAUGCAGGUGCAUUUCUGUGAUUUUAUCAGCGGUUUAAUAUCACUGUUGACAGUGGUGACAUGGUUAAAUCUGUAACAGGGAUUACAUCUAUAUCCGUCUUCUAUACGUGUAUCCUCUCCCACACAAUUUUCAGCUUCGGAUCCCUUUCAUCGUGAAUUUAAAUGCACUAAAAAUACAUUUGUUUUUCUUAGUUGCCUGCUGCAGGUUCCCCUGAGCUUUACAAGCCACUGCUGCAGUCACACGUUGGUUUGACAUGGAGCCUUUGCAAACACUGCUCUACCAGAAUUAGUCAUGUGGAGUCACACCAAAGGUUGGUCUUGUAGGAGAUGGUUAGAAAAAGGUCAAGAGGACAAAAGCCUUCCCCUCUGGUUUAACUUUCGAGCUUCUGCCAGGUGGUAAUUUAGUGCCUUACUGAGCCACGGUUUGCAUCUGUAUCAUUACAUUUGCUAGUCACUGAUGAACCUAAUCUUCAUUAAUUUGUCUAAUCCGUUUUGGAGCCUUUUUAGGCUUCUGGUCUCUGUACCGUUCUCUGGCAAGUUCCACGAUGGAAGGCAGAGGUGUCCUCCCAGCAGCACCGUAGGUCCAGGGGAAUCUGAAGGUGCAGAAAUGCCUUCUCCGCAGCACGGGAGCUUCACAGCGCUGCGUCUGCAGCAAAGGUUUCUCUCCCACGGCUUCCUCCAUCAUUUGUUCACCCUGCAGUUUCAGCAACUG
This is a long non-coding RNA of Aquila chrysaetos chrysaetos, 2547 nucleotides long. RefSeq lists it as uncharacterized. The record is from RefSeq and is a predicted model, not a curated record. NCBI's taxonomy places the organism in Eukaryota, Metazoa, Chordata, Aves, Accipitriformes, Accipitridae. The transcript has 2 exons.